Molecule: non-coding RNA, 30 nt
Filed under: Mus musculus (house mouse)
Lineage: Eukaryota; Metazoa; Chordata; Mammalia; Rodentia; Muridae
Source: RNAcentral
UCUGCAGGCACCUUCUCUGUCCUUCUGUCC